This 1121-nucleotide long non-coding RNA is filed under the name Strigops habroptila (Kakapo). RNAcentral describes it as "lncRNA (ENSSHBG00005006755.1)". Lineage: Eukaryota; Metazoa; Chordata; Aves; Psittaciformes; Psittacidae. The record is from RNAcentral.
UUGGUAUUUAGUUAAUUAAUUUUAAUGAGGUGAAUUAACAGUAAAAUUAAAUAGAUGUAAUAAAGUCAAUUUCAUGUCAGAUAUUUAAAGCACAUGUACAGCUAAAGAUACAGAAACUUCACAGCAGUUUUUAAAUUCCAGUUAAGUACGCAGGCACUACUGUUUAAAGAUCUACACUCCAUUUGUGAAUUUAUUACAGUUGCGGUAAUGGUAAUAACUGUUUUUCGCUGUUCACAUUUGAAACAAUUUCUCUUUGGACAUGAAUAAAUACUCAUUAUGAGUCUAUUUUUAUCUUUCAAGUUGCUUUCUACAUCCAAUUUAGGUUAAUUCUGAUCCUAAAGUGAAAUGUCUUCUAUUCAUUUCUCUCUCUAAGGUUGUGCUGCUUUGCACACCCUACCUGACUCAGGCCAUGCUACAAGGAGGCUUAUUUAUCUGUCCUCUUUGGUUUUGGUUUUGUUUCUAUGGAAUAUAAUCUGUAGGAAAUCUGCACAUGCCUUUUAUUUGAGAAAAGGAAACUUCUUUAUUCUUUGUGCAUAAAUACCUUGGAGAACAGAGUAUAAAAGCAGCUACGUAGAAGUGUGAUCCAGAGCCAACUGAAACUCCUGGAAAUUUUGCUGUUAACUGCAAUGCAGCCUCUCCUGCCAAAACCACCAUUUCAGCCCUAUAGCUGUAACAGACCAUACACAGAGGAAGCAGCCUUCACCCUCUGCUCUACAAGCGUAACACAAAAGGAAAAGCAUGGAGAGAUCAUCUUGACAUCAUGUGAGAUUAAUAGAGCUAAUCCAAAAAAACAUCAUAUGCAAAGGACUCUUUCAACCAGAUAAAUUCUUAGAUCAGAAUAAUUUCCUUUAAGACGUGCUUUACCUUCCAGUGUCUCCACUUCUAGGUGCAGAUAAAGCAUUUUCUGAGGCAUCAUUUAGCUGUUGACAGUCCUGCAAAGGGGCAGCCACAAGUUUACUCAUAGUAAACGUCCAUCUACAAUGAAGUCCAGAGUUCAUAAUGAAGAACAGUUGAGAAAUCAGUUUCCUGCUCUUUACCUAGGGAACAAGGAACACUGCUUUGGGACCUAGCUCCUCACUAGACAUCAUAAAUAUCUACACACAUAGCAGAAGAAAAAAAAA